Molecule: microRNA precursor, 208 nt
Filed under: Oryza brachyantha (malo sina)
Lineage: Eukaryota; Viridiplantae; Streptophyta; Magnoliopsida; Poales; Poaceae
Description: MIR812 microRNA precursor family
Rfam family: MIR812 microRNA precursor family
Source: Rfam by way of RNAcentral
AAUAAGAUUAUUUUUUGGUUUUUAGAUAUAAUACUUUUGACUCUUCGUCUUAUUUGAAAUUUUUUGUGAUUAAUAUGUUUAUUGUUACCGGAUGAUAAAACAUGAAUAGUACUUUAUGCGUGACUAAUUAUUUUAAGUUUUUGUGCAAAUUUUCUGAAUAAAACAAAUGGACAAAAUUUGGAUACAGAAAUCAAAAAAUAAAAUUAUU